UACGUAGGGGGCCUAGCGUUGUCCGGAAUCAUUGGGCGUAAAGCGCGUGUAGGCGGUCCGGUAAGUCCGCUGUGAAAGUCGGGGGCUCAACCCUCGGAUGCCGGUGGAUACUGUCGGGCUUGAGUACGGAAGAGGCGAGUGGAAUUCCUGGUGUAGCGGUGAAAUGCGCAGAUAUCUGGAGGAAUACCGGUGGCGAAGGCGGCAUCCUGGACCGGCAUUGACGCUGAUGAGCGAAAGCUAGGGGAGCAACGGG
RNAcentral lists this ribosomal RNA (253 nucleotides) under uncultured bacterium. RNAcentral describes it as "partial 16S ribosomal RNA". It matches the Rfam family "Bacterial small subunit ribosomal RNA", at positions 524 to 775 of the family's 1533-position model. The record is from RNAcentral.